RNAcentral lists this transfer RNA (67 nucleotides) under marine eukaryotic metagenome. It matches the Rfam family "tRNA". Rfam says of the family: Transfer RNA (tRNA) molecules are approximately 80 nucleotides in length. Their secondary structure includes four short double-helical elements and three loops (D, anti-codon, and T loops). The record is from RNAcentral.
CGGGUGUAGUUCAAUGGUAGAACACCAGCCUUCCAAGCUGGUCGUGAGGGUUCGAUUCCCUUCACCC